This 224-nucleotide long non-coding RNA is filed under the name Panax ginseng (ginseng). RNAcentral's name for it is "long non-coding RNA (PGIN_LNC010805)". The record is from RNAcentral. Lineage: Eukaryota; Viridiplantae; Streptophyta; Magnoliopsida; Apiales; Araliaceae.
UAUGAUGGUAGAUUCAUUGAACUUGUAAAGGUUAGACUUACAUGAUCUUUAAACCAUUACACAAAUUCUCCAUUUCUCAAAUUUUGCAAAUCCCCGUCUGAUAUACUCGGAUUUGCUUCACGUACUUCAACAUCAUAUUGACUGCAGCACAGUUAUAUACUCAACAUGUUUGUAAAGGAACUUGACACAAUUACACCAGACAUAUAUAGUUAUGACUACUUACU